Molecule: ribosomal RNA, 253 nt
Filed under: uncultured bacterium
Lineage: Bacteria
Description: partial 16S ribosomal RNA
Rfam family: Bacterial small subunit ribosomal RNA
Source: RNAcentral
UACGGAGGGUGCAAACGUUAAUCGGAAUUACUGGGCGUAAAGCGCACGUAGGCGGUCCGUUAAGUGGGGUGUGAAAGCCCUGGGAUCAACCUGGGAAUUGCAUUCCAAAAUGACGGGCUAGGGUGUGGUAGAGGGGGGUAGAAUUCCCUGUGUAGCGGUGAAAUGCGUAGAUAUAGGGAGGAAAACAUGUGGCGAAGGCGGCCCCCUGGACCAACACUGACGCUGAGGUGCGAAAGCGUGGGGAGCAAACAGG